AUCGCUUACACUUGUAUCUACUCUGAGUUCCAAGGAAAAAUGUGGUUACUAUAGCAACUGCCACAUUACACUUAUGCAGUCUUUGGAAUAGAUUAAAUUGCUGAAAACCUCAAGGUUUUGUUUGACUCUGUUGAGAACUGCAGCUAAAUGUACUGAAGUUACUUAAUCAAAGUCAUUGGUGCCUCUGGGUUUACACUGAAAAUGAUGCAAGAAGAGUCUAUCAAUAUGGAAAUCCUGAAUCAUCCUCUGCAACACAUCACUGCAUUUGCACAAGGACGCUGGCUGGACCCAACAGGCUGGUGGGCUGAAACACUUUUGGCUGCAGAGAAGGGAUUAAACUUGGACUCCAUUAAGUGACUGUAGCUGGAAGAUAUGACUUUGGGCUGAAUGGCUUUAAGUAGUUUACAGGAGACCUUGUGGUAGUGAUAAACCUUGUGUAGUCAUUUCUAUUCUAAGGUUUAAAACUGGAGGCAUGUUAAACAGAUGCCAAGAAGAAGAGAAAAUUAAUCUUUAGCUAUUGAUUAAAGUUUCUGCAGACCUGAAAAGAACUGUAAAAGUAAAUAAAUGUUUUUUAUUAAACCUUUGUCCUGUUAAAUGACAGGAAUCUACAUUCAGCUAGCAUAGUGUGAUUUACUCUUAUGGUAACAAGAAAACUUCAGGCAGAAACUAAUUUUCCGCAUCCACUGAACCUGCAUUCAUGUGAAAAAAUCUAAUGAUUGUAAUAGAACUACCUGUAGGAGUAAAUUUUAUUGUAUAGUAUGAAAUGUCCAAGGUUUAACAUAUGCAAUGUAAUAUUCAGGUGCGAUGGAAUACCAGCUUAUCCUAUGAGAUGUUGUCUGCCUUCUCAGUAGUUACACUGGAGCUUGCAAAGAAUGCAAGUUUUUGUAGUUUUCAACCUCUGUGUGCUCAGUUCACAAAAGAACUAAAGGCUACAACUCUUUUCUUCUGUAGUUUUUGAAGUAGUGCCAAGUACAUUCAGAUGUGCAUUAAGGAAAUUUGAAUACAGUUUUAAAAUAUUUGCUUUACUAUUUGGUUAAAAAGAAGUGAGCUUGGAUUCCUCUCCCCCCCACCCCCCAACCCUGAUCCCCCAGGAUUCUACCUCUAGCUAUGUAGAGAUAUCUGUUAUACUUUGCAUGAAGUUACUUAGUGCUUACUUGAUCACUUCCUAUAGUUCUGCUGUGACGGCAGUAAUCUUCAGUAUGGAGGAAGUCUUUAUUGCUAUUUUCCAUGCAUUUACAUCCUAAGGCAGCAGCUUUAUUGAUUUCAUCAGACUUGAAUGUUAAUGCUGACUGUAAGCCAAAUCCUGCCUGUCUCACGUGCAUACUGUUUUAGAGAACUUUAUGGAUGUAACAGAAUUUGGCCCUUUCUAGUUUUAAAACUUUUGCAAUGUUAUACAUCUAUUUAUUUAUCUUUGUUGUAUUUCAAAUAUGCAUGAUAUUGACUCAGGUGACUAUACCAAAUACAGGGUCAUUGCUGUACAAAUUAGAUGGGGAUAACUCAGACAGUAGACUUCUCUCUUGAAAGCCAGCCAUUUUUGCCUUGGAUUUAUAUGCACUUCCUAUAUGAGACAUUGAAAGUGCCACAGAAUAAAACAUGUAACUGGUGUAAUGUUUAACAA
Lonchura striata (white-rumped munia) is the source of this 1618-nucleotide non-coding RNA. Lineage: Eukaryota; Metazoa; Chordata; Aves; Passeriformes; Estrildidae. The record is from RefSeq and is a predicted model, not a curated record.